Molecule: long non-coding RNA, 364 nt
Organism: Camelina sativa (false flax)
Lineage: Eukaryota; Viridiplantae; Streptophyta; Magnoliopsida; Brassicales; Brassicaceae
Source: RefSeq, a predicted model, not a curated record
CUUUAUCGUCUCGAGAGAGAAGAAAACGCAAGCAUUUUUUCCGUUGAAACUAACAGAUUUAAGGAUUUUUCUCUUGAUUCAAAAUCGAUGGCUAAGAAAAGGAGUAACAUUGUUGACAGAAGUCCUCCCGGUCGGAAUUUGCAUCAGUCGAAGAAGAGAGGAUGGGGUAGUUGGUUAUCCUAGGCAUAAGCUCAACCCUGUUUUAUGUUAUGUUAUUUAGUCCAUUUUAAGUUGCAGGUUUUUGUUAGUUAAUUUUCAGAUUUUGGAACUAAGUAGCAGGUUUGGUUUGAACAAUUCUCAGUUUUGGUUUGAACAAUUCUAAGUUUUGGUUUUGCAAGUGAAUAGAAAUUGCAGUUUUUCCUUA